RNAcentral lists this ribosomal RNA (705 nucleotides) under Ochrobactrum sp. Its description in RNAcentral is "bacterial LSU rRNA". It matches the Rfam family "Bacterial large subunit ribosomal RNA", at positions 113 to 863 of the family's 2925-position model. Lineage: Bacteria; Pseudomonadati; Pseudomonadota; Alphaproteobacteria; Hyphomicrobiales; Brucellaceae. The record is from RNAcentral.
GCAGAACAAUUCAACUUUCUAGUUAUCGUAAUAAGGUAUCUACACCUGCAAUACAUAGGGUGUUAGAAGCGAACCUGGGGAACUGAAACAUCUAAGUACCCAGAGGAAAGGACAUCAAACGAGACUCCGCUAGUAGUGGCGAGCGAACGCGGACCAGGCCAGUGGCUUUUGUGAGUAAAGUGGAACAAUUUGGAAAAGUUGGCUAAAGUGGGUGAUAGCCCCGUACACGUAAAGUGAAAUUAAGUCCUUGAGUAGGGCGGGACACGUGAAAUCCUGUCUGAACAUGGGUCGACCACGAUCCAAGCCUAAGUACUCGUGCAUGACCGAUAGCGAACCAGUACCGUGAGGGAAAGGUGAAAAGCACCCCGACGAGGGGAGUGAAAUAGUACCUGAAACCGAAUGCCUACAAACAGUUGGAGCCCAAGGUUCGUCCUGGGUGACAGCGUACCUUUUGUAUAAUGGGUCAGCGACUUAGUCUGACGAGCAAGCUUAAGCCGGUAGGUGUAGGCGCAGCGAAAGCGAGUCUGAACAGGGCGUUCAGUUCGUCGGAUUAGACCCGAAACCAAGUGAUCUAGCCAUGAGCAGGUUGAAGGUACGGUAACACGUACUGGAGGACCGAACCCAUAUCUGUUGCAAUAGAUCGGGAUGACUUGUGGCUAGGGGUGAAAGGCCAAUCAAACUUGGAGAUAGCUGGUUCUCCGCGAA